Molecule: unclassified non-coding RNA, 365 nt
Filed under: Hevea brasiliensis (rubber tree)
Lineage: Eukaryota; Viridiplantae; Streptophyta; Magnoliopsida; Malpighiales; Euphorbiaceae
Source: RNAcentral
GGCCUUGCCCACUCAACUAAAUUUCUUUCUGUGGACGGCCUGGUUCUGUCUAUAACCCGCCUGCCAGAUAACAUUUCAAGGAAGACAACCCCAAAACUGUAUACGUCACUUUUCGCUGUUAGGUGACCUGUUUCUAUAUACUCAGGAGCUGCAUAGCCUUCAGUACCCAAGACUCUUGUGGUGACAUGGCUUUUACUAUCAAUAGGCCCAUCCCUGGCCAAACCAAGGUCCGAGAGUUUGGCAUUACAGCUCCAAUCAAGCAGGAUAUCAGAAGUUUUUAAGUCUCGAUAUAUCACUUGAGCCUCAUCAUGAAGAAAUGUCAGACACUUAGCAGCACCAAAGGCAACUUUCAUACGGAGAUUCCA